CAGCAGGAUUUAGACUACAAUAUAGCUGUUAAGUGCUAAUUUGUUGUUCCCCCAACUCAAAAGUAAAGUUGUUUCCUAUCUACCCCUGUCUGCUAGUUUCUUGUAGCAGCCCAGGGACGCUUGAUCUCAUACAU
This 134-nucleotide small nucleolar RNA is filed under the name Echinops telfairi (small Madagascar hedgehog). RNAcentral describes it as "Small nucleolar RNA SNORA63 (ENSETEG00000022979.1)". It matches the Rfam family "Small nucleolar RNA SNORA63". Rfam says of the family: E3 belongs to the H/ACA class of snoRNAs and is involved in the processing of eukaryotic pre-rRNA and has regions of complementarity to 18S rRNA. Lineage: Eukaryota; Metazoa; Chordata; Mammalia; Afrosoricida; Tenrecidae. The record is from RNAcentral.